UCCGUGUCUAUCUGUACCCUGUUGCUUCGGCGUGGCCACGGCCCGCCGAAGACUAACAUUUGAACACUGUCUGAAGUUUGCAGUCUGAGUUUUUAGUUAAACAAUAAUUAAAACUUUCAACAACGGAUCUCUUGGUUCCGGCAUCGAUGAAGAACGCAGCGAAAUGCGAUAAUUAAUGUGAAUUGCAGAAUUCAGUGAAUCAUCGAGUCUUUGAACGCACAUUGCGCCCCCUGGUAUUCCGGGGGGCAUGCCUGUCCGAGCGUCAUUGCUGCCCUCAAGCACGGCUUGUGUGUUGGGCUUCCGUCCCUGGUAACGGGGACGGGCCCAAAAGGCAGUGGCGGCACCAUGUCUGGUCCUCGAGCGUAUGGGGCUUUGUCACCCGCUCCCGUAGGUCCAGCUGGCAGCUAGCCUCGCAACCAAUCUUUUUAACCAGGUUGACCUCGGAUCAGGUAGGGAUACCCGCUGAACUUAAGCAUAUCA
RNAcentral lists this ribosomal RNA (480 nucleotides) under Aspergillus sp. DY31-D66. RNAcentral describes it as "eukaryotic LSU rRNA". The stretch from base 112 to 265 matches the Rfam family "5.8S ribosomal RNA". The record is from RNAcentral. Lineage: Eukaryota; Fungi; Ascomycota; Eurotiomycetes; Eurotiales; Aspergillaceae.